GAUGAACGCUGGCGGCGUGCCUAAUACAUGCAAGUCGAGCGAACAGACGAGGAGCUUGCUCCUUGGACGUUAGCGGCGGACGGGUGAGUAACACGUGGAUAACCUACCUAUAAGACUGGGAUAACUUCGGGAAACCGGAGCUAAUACCGGAGAACAUGUUGAACCGCAUUGGUCAACAGUGAAAGACGGUCUUGCUGUCACUUAUAGAUGGAUCCGCGCCGCAUUAGCUAGUUGGUACGGUAACGGCUUACCAAGGCAACGAUGCGUAGCCGACCUGAGAGGGUGAUCGGCCACACUGGAACUGAGACACGGUCAAGACUCCUAAGGGAGGCAGCAGUAGGGAAUCUUCCGCAAUGGGCGAAAGUCUGACGGAGCAACGCCGCGUGAGUGAAGAAGGUCUUCGGAUCGUAAAACUCUCUUAUUAGGGAAGAACAAAUGUGUAAGUAACUAUGCACGUAUUGACGGUACCUAAACAGAAAGCCACGGCUAACUACGUG
This 497-nucleotide ribosomal RNA is filed under the name uncultured bacterium. Its description in RNAcentral is "partial 16S ribosomal RNA". It matches the Rfam family "Bacterial small subunit ribosomal RNA", at positions 28 to 507 of the family's 1533-position model. The record is from RNAcentral.